AGUGAACGCUGGCGGUAGGCCUAACACAUGCAAGUCGAACGGCAGCACAGUAAGAGCUUGCUCUUACGGGUGGCGAGUGGCGGACGGGUGAGGAAUACAUCGGAAUCUACUUUUUCGUGGGGGAUAACGUAGGGAAACUUACGCUAAUACCGCAUACGACCUACGGGUGAAAGCAGGGGAUCUUCGGACCUUGCGCGAUUGAAUGAGCCGAUGUCGGAUUAGCUAGUUGGCGGGGUAAAGGCCCACCAAGGCGACGAUCCGUAGCUGGUCUGAGAGGAUGAUCGGCCACACGGGAACUGAGACACGGUCAAGACUCCUACGGGAGGAAGCAGUGGGGAAUAUUGGACAAUGGGCGCAAGCCGGAUCAAGCCAUACCGCGUGGGGGAAGAAGGCCUUCGGGUUGUAAAGCCCUUUUGUUGGGAAAGAAAAGCAGCAGGUUAAUACCCCGCUGUUCUGACGGUACCCAAAGAAUAAGCACCGGCUAACUUCGUG
RNAcentral lists this ribosomal RNA (492 nucleotides) under uncultured bacterium. RNAcentral describes it as "partial 16S ribosomal RNA". It matches the Rfam family "Bacterial small subunit ribosomal RNA", at positions 29 to 507 of the family's 1533-position model. The record is from RNAcentral.